UACGGGGGGAGCAAGCGUUGUCCGGAAUCAUUGGGCGUAAAGCGCGUGUAGGCGGCCCUGAAAGUCUGGUGUGAAAACUUGAGGCUCAACCUCAAGCUGUCGCUGGAUACUGCAGGGCUUGAGUCCGGAAGAGGAGUGUGGAAUUCCUGGUGUAGCGGUGGAAUGCGCAGAUAUCAGGAGGAACACCUAUGGCGAAGGCAGCACUCUGGUACGUGACUGACGCUGAGACGCGAAAGCGUGGGGAGCAAACAGG
RNAcentral lists this ribosomal RNA (253 nucleotides) under uncultured bacterium. RNAcentral describes it as "partial 16S ribosomal RNA". It matches the Rfam family "Bacterial small subunit ribosomal RNA", at positions 524 to 776 of the family's 1533-position model. The record is from RNAcentral.